Molecule: non-coding RNA, 571 nt
Organism: Oryctolagus cuniculus (rabbit)
Lineage: Eukaryota; Metazoa; Chordata; Mammalia; Lagomorpha; Leporidae
Source: RefSeq, a predicted model, not a curated record
CACCAAAAUUCAUAUGGAGGCUUGGUCCCUAAUGUAACUGUGUUGAGAAGUGGAGGGGACAUUAAGAGGCAUUUUAGGUCCCAGAGAUCUGCCCUCAUGAAGAGAUGAACUCAGUUACCUUGAGAGUGGAUUAGUUAUCAGGAGAGCAAGUUGUGCUUCUUUAGCUCUUCUGGCUUUUGGUCUUGCACACGUACUCCUUCCCCAUGUGCCUACUUGCUCUUCUGCUUUUCUGCUAUGCAGGGAACAGCAUGAGGCCCUCACCAGAAGCUGAACAGAUGCCAGCACCAUGCUCUUGGACUACCAAAACUCUCCACCAUGGUCCAAGCCCCCAUCACUCUCCCUAGAAACUUAGUUAACUUCAAAGGAGCACCCAAGAAUGAUACAUCUUUUAUGAGCACUUAGACAUAAUUAUAAUACAACUCUUUGAGGACAGAGGACCUGCAUGGGAAAUGCUGAGGAGACAAGAUGAAAGCUUUCAUUCAGAUUUGGUGUGUUUCCUUUUUCUUUUGUCCACUCUGCCAAGUGAAGGCUGGUGUUACAAGAGCCGGCGGCUGAAGGAGGCGAAUCUGAG